Molecule: long non-coding RNA, 4232 nt
Organism: Rhinolophus ferrumequinum (greater horseshoe bat)
Lineage: Eukaryota; Metazoa; Chordata; Mammalia; Chiroptera; Rhinolophidae
Exons: 3
Source: RefSeq, a predicted model, not a curated record
CUGGAGAGGCAGUCACCAUUUUCCCUCUGUGGGUCCUUCUCCUGUGCAGCCAGCAGAUCUCCUGAGGACUGAACCAUUCUUGAGGUGUUGACAAAAUCGUGUGUCUGUGCUUGCAUUUCCGAGGACCAACCACACCACAGAAUAUAAUGAGUUCACCAAGCUGGAAGUUUCUGUGCCUUGGCAAAUUGCCAUACUUCUAAGUUUGGAUCAGCUUUCAACAUUUUAUGCUUUCAACUUUCAAUAUGGUGAAAUAUCUUGGAGAGUUCCUUUGUUUGUGAAGUUUUUUGCCAGCGUUCCCUCAUCUUGGAAAUUUCAUGCUUUGGUCACAAGCACUUUCUUCAUUUAUUUCGAUACGAUGGCCCUCACUGACGAGCUAUGACUGCCUAUCCAGAAUGUCUCCAAUGGCACAAGGUCAGCAUUUCCUUGGUGCACUAAUUCUCAUAGCUUCAUUUAAUGCCAUUCAAAUUUCAUUUCCGACGUUAUCACUUUUCUUCCUUUGCUGCACUUUAUCUUUAGUGACAAUCUUCCUCUUUCAGUUAUCCAUUUUUGUACAAUAUCACGUGGCUUUAUCACUGGGAGACAGGAGGCAACACACCUACACGCUCUGCCGUCCGUGCACGAACUGAAUGACAGAUGCGCAGUCACCGACCUGAACAGUCCUCAACAGACUUUGAAAGAAAGGACGCGAUUGGCCACUAAUGAUGUGCAUCUGUUACUUCUUUAGGGCUCUGAGGACUGAAGACCUAGCAGCACCGUUUGUAUUUUAUGUGAGUUCACAGUUAAUAUACUGUCGUAACUGAAAUUUGAACCGGAGUGUUGGAAGACUGAACUCCAGUAACUGAAAAUUGUGCAAAGUGACAACUGCUGGUAGUGGAAUGAAUAGAUGACUGAAUAAAUGACCUCUUGACUGUAGGGAAAUAUUUGUUCUCUAGAUAGUAAGGAGCAUUUUACAAAGUUUAUAUAUUCAAAGUAGCUGUUAGAAUAAUGUGGUGAGCAAAACGGACAUGAUUUUGACCCUCUGGAGCUUACAUUUUACGGGAAGAUAUAGGCAAAUACUAGUCCAAUAUAGCAUGAUAAGCAAUAUAAUGAGAAAAAUAUGAAAACACAUAGGAGGAACACUUAACUCUCUUUUUAACAAUCUGAGGGAAAAAUCCCGGGGGAAUAACAUUCUCACUGUGGUGUGGGAGGAAACCAAAUGAAGAGGGAUAAGCAUUUCAGGCAGAUGGAAGUCCCAGAGGUGAGAAGGAACUUAGUAAUUUCAUCGAUCUGAAGACGCUUCAUAUGCCUUGGACAUACAGGGGGAAGGAAGUGGUAGAAGAUGAGAACUAAUGAACAUAUCUAGGUGGGAGGGUCACAGUAAUAGGACUUGGAUGAAAAAUAAUGGUCAAUUAUACUCACGAUAAAAACCUUAAGUUAUAUGUCAAUUAAACUUCAAUAAAAAUUUUGAGAAAGAAAUAGUCAAGGGGUUAGAAUGGACGGAGGUGACUUAUAAGCGACAAAUCUUAGUUCCUUUUAGAAAGGUCAGGGCAUAUACACAUUCUCCAAAUUUUCCAAUGUAACACACAAUAGUGAAUGACCUCCUAGCAGUUGUCUCAGUGGGACUUUACUCAUUUGAUCUGUAAUAGAAAAUAAGCACAUCAAUUGACUUAUGUAAAAUUCAAGAAUGAUAUAAUUCCACAGAAAAUUGUGGGAUUUUUUCCCCCAAUAGAUUUAGUGAUACAAAGAAACUCUUUGUACUUAGACAAAAGUCUUGCAGAUCAAUUUGGCUUUGAGGAAAUCACCUAAAUGUUCUGGUAAUUUUUUAAACACAGGAAUGAUGGUUGUUCUUUUCUAACCUCAGAGCCAUAACAAGAGUGUUGUUGUUAUUUAAAUUCCUAGGAUGAAACAUGGAAUUCUUUCCUCUUAACAUCUACUACUUUUACUAUAAUAAUACUCAUCAGCUGUUAAUAAUGACUACACAUUUUUUCUUCCUCCUUAGUCUCCACUAAAGUAAAUGCAACAAAAUCCUAGCAAAGGAAUUUUUACAAUCCAUAAGCUGAUAGGAAUAGGAAGAGAAUAGGAAAGGAGAUGGUAGCAGAUAAGAGAUUACAACGAAUUUUUGGAAUCUGCAAAAUGAAUGUCGGAGUGUAACUGACUUAGCAUGGUAAAGAAAGAUCCAGCUUACGAUGUGUGCAAGGUGUGGACAAGCUGAGUGAGUGCUGAGCCAUUCUGCAAAUCUAUGGAGAGACUCUUGAAGGCAAAAGUAAGUGAAGUGAGGGGCUGAAAAGGGAAAGAUUGGCCCAUGAAAAAUUCCUCCACAGUCGCCACGUACUCUCUUUCAUAAUCCACUGGCAGAAUGGAGAGAACGCCAGGGAGCUAGAUAAGGGUGGGAGCCAUGAUAUGGUCAAGAGUGGGGUCCCUGAGGAACAUAUGGAAAGCUUGAAAGUGUGUAUGAGAGGUCAGUCAAUUUCGCAUCCCCCCACCCUUGAUAUAUGUACAACUCUGUAGAAUCUCUAGGAGGAACACAGAAGGCUUUUUCUCUGAGGAAUUGAAUAGGAACAAAUCAAGUCCCAAGGAUACCAGCUAAAGUGGACAGAGGAGUGACAAUAUUAGCAUACUGAGUUUCAUUCUAGCCACGGCGUAGGGUCAGGUUGAGUGGAAUGUAAAGGACAUAUCUACCAUUGAUUUCGCUUGUCUAAUGGCGUUGGCUAAAGCCUUGAGUCAUACAUUGAAUAGUAGUGGAGAUAGAGGACAUCCUGGCUUUGUAACUGAUCUUAGUGAAAACAUCUCUGGUGUUUCCCCUAUGAAAUAAGAUACUGGCUAAAGAAAUAGGCCAUAUGUAUUACAUCUUGUUAAGAAAGUACUCCUCAAUUCCUCUUUUCUUGAGUGUUGUUAUCAUGAAUCGGUGUUGACUUUUGUCAAAGUCUUUUUGGGCAUUGAUAGAGAUAAUUAUGGGUUUUUUCCCUUAGAUUUAGUAAUGUUAUGUGUGGUGUUGAUGCAUUUCCUAACACUGAGCCAAACUGUGUUCCUGGAAUAGAUUCCACUUGGCCAUGGUGUAUUAUUUUCUAAGGGUGGUGUUGGAUUCUUUUUGCUAAUAAUUCGUUUAGAAUUUUUCAAUUGAUAUUCAUGAGUGAUACAGAUCUAUAGGUUUUUUUCUUUGUACUUUCUUCAUCUGGCUGAGGUGUCAGUAUGAUACCUGCUUCUCAAAAAGAACUUGGAAGUUUUCAUUCAUUUUCAAGGCUCUGGAAUAAUUUAUAAAGUAUUAAGACUGUCUGGUCUUGGAAGACUUGGUAGAAUUCACCUGUGGAAUGACCAGGUUUUGUGCAUCUUUGUUGGGUGGAUUCUUAAUAACUGUCUCCAUUUUUUUCUGUGGAAAUUGGUUAAGUUUUCUAACUCUAAGGGGGCCACUUUAGGUAACAUAUAUUUCCCCAGGAAAUUAUCCAUUUAUUGUAGGUUUUCCAAUCUAUUACCUAGAGGUCAGCAAAAUAAUCUCUUACGACUUUUUAAAUUUCUUCUGUUUGAAAGGUUAUUUCCCCCUUGUCAUUUCUCAUUCUACAUAUUUGUAUUAAUACUUUCUUUUUUCUUAAUCAACCUAGUUAGUUGUUUGUCUGUUUCAUUAAUUUUUUUCCAUCAAAAACCCCCACAAAAAAACUCAACAGAGUUUUGAUUUAUUAAUUAGGAUUAGUCUUUUUCUGUUCUCUAUUUCAUUAGUUUCUGCUUUUAACUUUAAUAUUUUCUUCCUUGUGUUUCAUUUUAUUUUUACUGUUCUUCUUUUUCUAGGCUUUUGAACUGCCAAUUUAAAUCAGAAGCAUGCAGACAGAUUUAUGGAAGGGAAUGUAAAGAAAAGUUGAGUUUGCUGAUUUAGAGAGACAAGGUGAAAAUACACAGAAAUCAGGGGAAACUCUGCACUAAGUAAUUCUAAGACAGAGCAAGCAGUGUGGUGGCUCAGCGGAGGCAGGUGGGGAGAAGGCGCGGGGCUCACCCAGCUGUGUUUGUGGACUUCAUGUUCAGCAGCAGUUACGCGGCGGUCCACUGUUAAAAUCGUGGGUGGAUCGGUGGUGCUUCUGCACCACGCGCAGAAUUUCCUUGUUUACCAAUUCACUUAGGCUAAUUAGCCUUACAGCCAGAGCCGUGUACCUUUUUCAUAUAAAGAGGUACCUAGAGUAAAGCUGGGGCUCAAGGAGAGUUAUUGCUUAAUGGCGACAGAGUUUCAGUUUUGCAAAAUAAAAAGGGUUCUGGGGAUUGAUGGUGAU